Long non-coding RNA from Octopus sinensis (East Asian common octopus), 241 nucleotides. RefSeq lists it as uncharacterized. Lineage: Eukaryota; Metazoa; Mollusca; Cephalopoda; Octopoda; Octopodidae. The transcript has 3 exons. The record is from RefSeq and is a predicted model, not a curated record.
GUGCUCUUCCUACCUGGAGCCAGUCCAGCGGCACUGGCGACAACCUUGCGCGAAUGUUGUUUUCACGUGCCACCAGCACAAGUGCUACUAAGGCGAUGCAGGUAACGAUCAUGCCCGAAUGGUGUGUUUAAUGUGCCAUCGACACGAACGCCAGCUUGUUGCUCUGGCAAUGAUCUCACUCAUCUGGUACUCUUAGCGCUCCACUAGCCAUGGAUGCCAGUCACUGAGUUUGAUUUCGAUU